UCCACGCCGUAAACGAUGUCUACUUGGAGGUUGUGGCCUUGAGCCGUGGCUUUCGGAGCUAACGCGUUAAGUAGACCGCCUGGGGAGUACGGUCGCAAGAUUAAAACUCAAAUGAAUUGACGGGGGCCCGCACAAGCGGUGGAGCAUGUGGUUUAAUUCGAUGCAACGCGAAGAACCUUACCUACUCUUGACAUCCAGAGAAGCCAGCGGAGACGCAGGUGUGCCUUCGGGAACUCUGAGACAGGUGCUGCAUGGCUGUCGUCAGCUCGUGUUGUGAAAUGUUGGGUUAAGUCCCGCAACGAGCGCAACCCUUAUCCUUGUUUGCCAGCGAGUAAUGUCGGGAACUCCAGGGAACUGCCGGUGAUAAACCGG
Molecule: ribosomal RNA, 372 nt
Filed under: uncultured Gammaproteobacteria bacterium
Lineage: Bacteria; Pseudomonadati; Pseudomonadota; Gammaproteobacteria
Description: bacterial SSU rRNA
Rfam family: Bacterial small subunit ribosomal RNA
Source: RNAcentral